RNAcentral lists this ribosomal RNA (497 nucleotides) under uncultured bacterium. Its description in RNAcentral is "partial 16S ribosomal RNA". It matches the Rfam family "Bacterial small subunit ribosomal RNA", at positions 28 to 507 of the family's 1533-position model. The record is from RNAcentral.
GAUGAACGCUGGCGGCGUGCCUAAUACAUGCAAGUCGAGCGAACAGACGAGGAGCUUGCUCCUCUGACGUUAGCGGCUGACGGGUGAGUAACACGUGGAUAACCUACCUAUAAGACUGGUAUAACUUCGGGAAACCUUAUCUAAUACCGUAUAAUAUAUUUAACCGCAUGGUUCAAUAGUUAAUUACGUUUUUUCUGUCUCUUAUCGCUUGUUCCUCGCCGCAUUAGCUAGUUGGUAAGGUAACGGCUUACCAAGGCGACGAUGCGUAGCCGACCUGAGAGGGUGAUCGGCCACACUGGAACUGAGACACGGUCCAGACUCCUACGGGAGGCAGCAGUAGGGAAUCUUCCGCAAUGGGCGAAAGCCUGACGGAGCAACGCCGCGUGAGUGAUGAAGGUCUUCGGAUCGUAAAACUCUGUUAUUAGGGAAGAACAAAUGUGUAAGUAACUAUGCACGUCUUGACGGUACCUAAUCAGAAAGCCACGGCUAACUACGUG